AGCUUCCAAGAGUUCCUCAAGUGCCUCAACCCGACCUUCAAUCCUCCAGAGAAGAAGUGUGCCCUGGAGGAUGAGACAUACGCAGACGGAGCGGAGACUGAAGUGGACUGUAACCGCUGUGUCUGUGCCUGCGGAAACUGGGUCUGCACAGCCAUGACCUGUGACGG
Long non-coding RNA from Suricata suricatta (meerkat), 167 nucleotides. RefSeq lists it as uncharacterized. The transcript has 2 exons. NCBI's taxonomy places the organism in Eukaryota, Metazoa, Chordata, Mammalia, Carnivora, Herpestidae. The record is from RefSeq and is a predicted model, not a curated record.